GGCCUAUUGAUAAUGAUUUUAGGUYUGACCUGCCCAAUGAGAAGUUGAAUGGCCGCGGUACUUUGACCGUGCAAAGGUAGCAUAAUCAUUAGUUUUUUAAUUAAAAGCUGGAAUGAAAGGUUUGAUGAAAAAGUUUCUGUCUCUGUAAAAAUUAAUUAGAACUUUAUUUUUAAGUUAAAAAGCUUAAAUAUGUAUAGAAGACGAGAAGACCCUAUAGAGUUUUAUAUUUUAAGUUAAUAGAAAUGUAGGAUUAAAAAUUAUUAUUAAUAGAAAAAUAUUUUAUUGGGGUGAUGAAAAAAUUAAAAGAACUUUUUUUAAGUAGAUCAUUAAUUUGUGAAUAUUUGAUCCUUUUAUAAAGAUUAUAAGAUUAAAUUACCUUAGGGAUAACAGCGUAAUUUUUUUUAGAGUUCUUAUCGAAAAAAAAGAUUGCGACCUCGAUGUUGGAUUAAAAUAAAUUAUUGGUGAAGAAGCUAAUAAAUUAGGUCUGUUCGACCUUUGAAAUUUUACAUGAUCUGAGUUUAAACCGGUGUGAG
Molecule: ribosomal RNA, 533 nt
Filed under: Trigonopterus sp. 610 AR-2022a
Lineage: Eukaryota; Metazoa; Arthropoda; Insecta; Coleoptera; Curculionidae
Description: partial large subunit ribosomal RNA
Source: RNAcentral